GCAGGAGAUACAGAGUUUUACAGCAUCCUCCCAUCAUCACUCAGGGGACGCUGGCUUUUCUUCAGCCUCAAAGACUGGUGAAACCUAUGGAACAUCCUGAAACAGGAAAUGAGGUCACACACCAGAGCACAUGGGUAACCGGUGAGAAAAUGCUGGCGCCAAGAAGGGGGCGGGUGUCAGAAGUGUGGAGGGAGAGGACCCUAACACACAGGAACCACCAGACGAACCACCUGCUGCUCUGGGACAGCCCAGAGAGGAAGGGGUGCACCUAGGUUUAAAAAAUAACCUGCUUUCUUUAAAGCAUAUGCAACAUAAAUGAUUUUACCAAGCCAA
Molecule: long non-coding RNA, 333 nt
Organism: Herpailurus yagouaroundi (jaguarundi)
Lineage: Eukaryota; Metazoa; Chordata; Mammalia; Carnivora; Felidae
Exons: 2
Source: RefSeq, a predicted model, not a curated record